GCCCAAGUGGUGAAAUGGCAGACACGCUGGCUUCAGGAGUCAGUGCUCGUAAGGGCGUGGGAGUUCGACUCUCCCCUUGGGCACCA
RNAcentral lists this transfer RNA (86 nucleotides) under Patescibacteria group bacterium. RNAcentral's name for it is "tRNA-Leu". It matches the Rfam family "tRNA". From Rfam's summary of the family: Transfer RNA (tRNA) molecules are approximately 80 nucleotides in length. The record is from RNAcentral.